RNAcentral lists this ribosomal RNA (512 nucleotides) under uncultured bacterium. RNAcentral's name for it is "partial 16S ribosomal RNA". It matches the Rfam family "Bacterial small subunit ribosomal RNA", at positions 28 to 507 of the family's 1533-position model. The record is from RNAcentral.
GAUGAACGCUGGCGGCGUGCCUAAUACAUGCAAGUCGAACGAAACUUCUUUAUCACCGAGUGCUUGCACUCACCGAUAAAGAGUUGAGUGGCGAACGGGUGAGUAACACGUGGGCAACCUGCCCAAAAGAGGGGGAUAACACUUGGAAACAGGUGCUAAUACCGCAUAACCAUAGUUACCGCAUGGUAACAAUGUAAAAGGUGGCUAUACUACCGCUUUUGGAUGGGCCCGCGGCGCAUUAGCUAGUUGGUAGGGUAAAGGCUUACCAAGGCAAUGAUGCGUAGCCGAAUUGAGAGGUUGAUCGGCCACAUUGGGACUGAGACACGGCCCAAACUCCUACGGGAGGCAGCAGUAGGGAAUCUUCCACAAUGGGCGAAAGCCUGAUGGAGCAACGCCGCGUGGGUGAAGAAGGUCUUCGGAUCGUAAAACCCUGUUGUUAGAGAAGAAAGUGCGUGAGAGUAACUGUUCACGUUUCGACGGUAUCUAACCAGAAAGCCACGGCUAACUACGUG